GUUCUCACUUGAGCAGCACAUAUACUAAAAUUGGAAUGAUACAGAGAUGAGCAUGGCCCCUGCGCAAGGAUGACAGACAAAUUUGUAAAGUUUUCCACAGUUAA
Small nuclear RNA from Pipistrellus kuhlii (Kuhl's pipistrelle), 104 nucleotides. NCBI's taxonomy places the organism in Eukaryota, Metazoa, Chordata, Mammalia, Chiroptera, Vespertilionidae. The record is from RefSeq and is a predicted model, not a curated record.